UCUGUUCUCUCGUUCGUCUCGCUCUGGAUCAGCCUGGGCUCUAAGAAAAGAGGCUCAGAGCUAAAGGCCUAGUAUCGUAUUUAAGGAAACUAGGGCAGAUUGUUAAAAAACAUAACAAUUUUAAUCUUAAAAUAUUGUACAGCGGACCGUUUUUGGAGAUACAUCCGGUGCCUGUUAAGUUUGCUUUUUUCUUUAAGUACAUUUUUGGAUCUUUGGGACUUAAUCGCAAGCAUCGGAGUUGACUACGACGGAUAGCCGUGCGGAGGUGGGGGAGUAUCGGCGUGGCGCUUAGGAAACCCUGGGGGAAGCCUGAACUGUUCAUUUAAGGCUUAUUUUUUGACAUAACUGGAUUAUUUUCACAAAUUGGUGUUAUGAAUUUGAUCUCUUUCCGAUUUUAUGAAUGACUUAUUGAUGGGUUUCUUGUAUUUUUACAUAAAUGGAACGCAUUCUUUUAGGCCACGGCUUAAGGUACAUCAGAAAAGCAAUGGUUUUUGGCGCUUGUGUUACUUAAAAUGACGGUUCGUGUCAUCGCAUAACAAUUGAAAUUGCCCAAAAAUGACAUGUAUAUGACUCAACUACACCUCCGCAGCAGGUCUGAAUGGAAAAACAUCACUGAGGCCAAGAUGACAGAUAAAAAUCACAUCUACGGGUCUGAAGGAGGGGCCACGUCAGGCAGGAGAGGCAGUCAGACGCAGAGCAUGGUAGAAGAAGCAGAAUGAGACAAAAUCUGAUUUAUUCUGAAUGAAAAGUCCAGAACGGCAACCGAGAUCUGCUAGCUUUAGAGAAAUAAAAAAGCUCACACUUUCAUUUUUUUUAUUUUUAUGAAUGGAUGUAACUUUCUCCAAAAGCAUUAAAACAGGUUUGUGCUCCUGAGAUUGUGUAAUGUUUUUGUUUUGUAGCUCUUUGUCUGAAACCACUUCCACACGCUGAAAGAGGAACGGUUUGUUUGGGUUAAGCGCCAGGCUGCUGUUUUGCAAUAUGAAAGCGUGACGCGGGGUUGGAGGCAUGUUUCUUAGAGCUCACGGGAACAGGCCAGCCUUCCGGAGCCAUGAGGGAAUGUCCUGUUCUCUGGGUGUUUGUUUUGGCUGAUGUCAGCCGCCGCCGCCGAGCGUCUUCUUCUUCUUCCUUUCAUCCUUCCCCGUCAAUAUCCAAACGGCCCUUUGAAGCCCUCCUCGUUCUCAGGACCCUUUUCUUUUUGUUUUUUUUUCCCCUCGCUGGCUCGUUUGCAGGAAUCAGGAAACGUUGUUGAGCCGCCUUGCAAUAUGGCGGAGUAUUCGCCAUGAAUUUUUAUCUUUUUAAAAGUCCUCCAAUCAUUUCCUGGAACUAUCUGGGUGCUAAAUUAAUUCCUCCUGAUCCCAAACUCACCCUGCAAUCAGCUUAGUGCUAAUCUCGGGCUCUUACAGUGCAGCCAACUCUUGUCUGGGCAACACUGCUGCACUGAGCUCUCCUCUGUUCUCAUUUUACAAGGUUUUGACCCUUGGCACCAUCUGUCCUGCUCCCACUCUGUCAUUCCUUUCUCAUUCAAGCAGCAGGAAAGCUUCUUUUUUACGCUUGUCCUAGUGAAUCGUCUUGCUUUAUCUUCUUUUUUGUUCGAACCUUGUGUUUUUUGUCCUUAUUCAGGAAUUCCUCACUGCUUUCAGAACUCCAACCAUCCGUGUACUCUCUCUGAUUCUCUUUCUACACUUUAAUCUUCCCCUUCUUGUUGUUUUGCCCAUCGGUAAAGCUCAGAAAUCUUGUCUCUGGUGUCUUUUUUUCUUCUGUUUUUACUUUCUCCGCUGAUUUCCUUUGGCACGAUGCCUGCUACGUUUGCUUCGCUUUGUUUGUCUUCUUGCUUUCAGUCCCCCCCCCCACCACCUUUUUUCUUUUGAAGUCAGUCAUCAAUUUGUGAUUUUGUGUUUGAUUUCAGCGUCACAGUCCCUUUGUGUCACUCUGCUUCCUGCGAGCUUCGCUCAGAUUACCCUUCCUUCCAGAGGGCUGUCACUGAAGUGCUAUUUAAAGAGGCGUGCAGAAGAGCAAGGCUUGUUUACAGCGCCUUCAAACUACAGGCUGUUUAGAAACAGGAAGUCCCGUCACCUCAAAGGACAGCAGCCACUUCCUCCACCUCCUCCUCCUCCUCCUUAUGACUGAGAAGUGGCUCCAGUAAAAACAACCCUGGAGCUUAUCAGAGAAUUAUUCGCCCCUCCCCUCCAUGGUCCACACACACAGCAGGCUUUUCAGCCCUCCACCGUGUCCUAUGUGGCUUUCUCCUUUUCUCCCAUGCCCACAGACCUCCUCUCUUUCCAACUGUCACCCCUUUGCCAGGACAGCAUGCCUGAGUAGCUGCCUGGAGAUGAAGGAGCUAAUUAAUUUGAUUUAGCCAUACCCUCUCUCUUUCUCUCUACCUCUUUCUCUCUCUUUCUCCGUCUCUGUGUCAGUGGAAAAACCAGCCGGCCGCCCUCCUCCACACCGUAUCAACCAGUCCCCUCCCAGAUAAUUUUCCACCUAUCCUUUCUAGUCUCCUUUGGCAACAUCCGCUCUCUAAACCUUCCCUAUUCCCCUCCCCUUGUUUUCCUUCCUGUUACACAACCACAUUUUGCCAGCGGGUUGCUGCCAGCCAGACUGCUUCACUCCCAACACCCAGGGGCGUAGCUAUGUACUAUCUCAGGUGUAUGCUCACAUUAUAACACCCCGCCUACCCCCUGUAGGGAUUCAAUGCUCAGGUGAAUAAAUCUCACUUAGUCAUGGAUUCAUAAGAAGGAAAUCUUGUAAUACUAUAUGCUAUUAUACACUGAUAAUAUCAUUUACACAUGCACAAACAGCUGUUAAAUAGAGAAAAUGGCGACCAAAAGCAAUAUAUUUUGCCCAUUGCUUUGGCGCCCCCUCUGGUGGCGCCCCUAUGACGCCCGCACCCGUCUAUAUUCUGCUUUUCAUACAUUGUCCUCUCUAUUACCUCUGGUAAUAGAGAGGACUCGCUCGCUGUAGUUCACCGACUCAGGCGACCUGAAAGCGGGCAUGUGAGCCUCCGGUGGAUUAAACCUCCCGUGUGUCACUUGAUACGUCGAUGGAUCCGCCUUCCGCGUUAUAAUCAGGCAAGUCUAGAAUAGCUGUGUAACGGUCUAACAGCACCGUUACACAGCUAUCAGGUGACUGGAUGAAAACCCUUUCUGUGCCUCCAGCAGGCCUUUGGGAUCCACUCAGACCAGUUUUAAGCGCAGAUGUUUCCAUCCCUCACUGUUUAUCUGCAGGGUUCAACCAGCUAACCCCUAGCAUUUUUUUUGUGAGGCUUAUGAUUCUCUGACGGCUUAAAAACUUGAAACACCUCUGUAUGCUAAUUAUCUCAAGGUAGUUUAUGUUUUCAUAUUCUAUUUUGUUGCUCUUUAACCCAAAGAUGAUUUAAUUGCGAUUCCCAGUGGAGUCAUCAUUGCUAUCUUAAGGAAUAUAGCCAUAAAACAGAGGUUGUUUGUAUAUUUAUAAAAGGUAAAAUGUGAUGUAUGCAGUAAUU
Long non-coding RNA from Gambusia affinis (western mosquitofish), 3481 nucleotides. RefSeq lists it as uncharacterized. The transcript is spliced from 3 exons. The record is from RefSeq and is a predicted model, not a curated record. Lineage: Eukaryota; Metazoa; Chordata; Actinopteri; Cyprinodontiformes; Poeciliidae.